CUUUAUUUCUCUGAUCUGCCUGUUCAUCCUCAGAGUCAGAAAAUACACUUCCUCCUUCCGUAUCCUCAGAACAAGACAGUUUAUGCAGUUGAAUAUCUUCUGAGAGGCAGCAUUCACUUUGCAAGUGAGGCUGUUUCAUCCCAAGUUCUGUUGCACUGGAUAAAGUACGUUCUUUUAGUCCCAAAGGUGGUGAAGGCUUUGUUACCUCUGUUGGCUGCUCAUGUAAUUGUUGUUGCUUGUGGUUUUCUUUCUCCUUUAAUUUCUUCUCCAGUUCCUCAAUUUUCUUUUGUAUUUCUUCCUUUUUCUGUGCUAUGGUCUGUAUCUCCUCUUCAGCUUUCUUUUUUGCUUUCUUUCUGUAGACUUCAGCUCGAAUCUCUUCGAAAGAGAAUUCCUCCACUCCAGCAUAAACUUUGUCUUUACAGUACAUCACCACCUCUUUCUUCUCCUGGGUAUCCUGAUGGUGAUUCUGGACCCGUCGUAGAGGAUCCUCCUCCUUCUCAGGCUUGCGAGCGCUUAAAACGUGGUUUAUGCUGGGUUCAAUCUUGCAGGGAGUCAUGACUUGCUGCUGAGCUGACUCUUCCACGUAGGGGGUGAAACUGGGCAUUGGACAGGGCACUUCUACACCAGAAUUUGCACUGUUGCGAGGACGCCUCCCAGAGUUCCAAGGUCCUGCGCUUAGUUCAUUCUCCUUGCCCCUUGGAGCUGGAGGUUCUGUCCAGUGCUGUGGAGUAAGUAUGGGAAUCUCAGGUCCAGAAGCUGAAGCGGAAUUUUCAUCAAACACAGCAAAACCCAGAUUGUUUGAAAACUGCUGAGGAGUCUGGAAGUUUCUGUUUUGGUUUGUGGCUUUAAGUGCAUCUCCUACACGACUAAUUGGAGCUCUCACUUUUUUCUUUCCCCUGCCUUUUAGAUCUGCCAAUGUGCUCCUCUGAGGUUCUUCAGUUUCCAGAAGACCCGUAUCUUUUUCAUCAGCAGCUUCCUCAAGUCCCAGUAGUGUUUGCCGAGAAACACGGGUCUGAAACUGCCUGUGAUGAGACUGGAGUUUGUCCAAAGGCUCUGCCUUGCGAUUAAGGCCUUCCUGGAAGAUUAUAUCUGCUUUCUUAAAACUUCCUCUAGCCUCAAGUUCUUCUGCCCAUGUAAUAUAGAGUUGUGCCAGCGUUGUACCAAUUUCCUGACUAUGCAGAUAACUGUACAGAUCCAAGGGUUCAUUACAGCAAUUUCCAAAUUUGAGCCAGAGACUAAGAUAGCGGGGAUCUUGGUAGUAUCUCUGCUGCUUGUUGAGUGCUUUCACUGCCCUUUCCAAUACUGCAGAGAGAUUACUCUCCUUUCCACCCUGGGGGAAGGUUUGCUCGGUCCACUUGAU
This 1360-nucleotide long non-coding RNA is filed under the name Gallus gallus (chicken). Lineage: Eukaryota; Metazoa; Chordata; Aves; Galliformes; Phasianidae. The record is from RNAcentral.